This 389-nucleotide ribosomal RNA is filed under the name Aeromonas salmonicida subsp. salmonicida 01-B526. RNAcentral's name for it is "bacterial SSU rRNA". It matches the Rfam family "Bacterial small subunit ribosomal RNA", at positions 100 to 525 of the family's 1533-position model. Lineage: Bacteria; Pseudomonadati; Pseudomonadota; Gammaproteobacteria; Aeromonadales; Aeromonadaceae. The record is from RNAcentral.
GACGGGUGAGUAACGCGUGGGAACAUACCCUUUGGUACGGAAUAGCCUCGGGAAACUGAGAGUAAUACCGUAUGUGCUCGUAAGAGGAAAGAUUUAUCGCCAAAGGAUUGGCCCGCGUUGGAUUAGGUAGUUGGUGGGGUAAUGGCCUACCAAGCCGACGAUCCAUAGCUGGUUUGAGAGGAUGAUCAGCCACACUGGGACUGAGACACGGCCCAGACUCCUACGGGAGGCAGCAGUGGGGAAUCUUAGACAAUGGGGGAAACCCUGAUCUAGCCAUGCCGCGUGAUCGAUGAAGGCCUUAGGGUUGUAAAGAUCUUUCAGAUGGGAAGAUAAUGACGGUACCAUCAGAAGAAGCCCCGGCUAACUCCGUGCCAGCCGCCGCGGUAAUU